This 1002-nucleotide ribosomal RNA is filed under the name Glutamicibacter nicotianae. Its description in RNAcentral is "bacterial SSU rRNA". It matches the Rfam family "Bacterial small subunit ribosomal RNA", at positions 56 to 1071 of the family's 1533-position model. Lineage: Bacteria; Bacillati; Actinomycetota; Actinomycetes; Micrococcales; Micrococcaceae. The record is from RNAcentral.
UGCAAGUCGAACGAUGAAGCCCAGCUUGCUGGGUGGAUUAGUGGCGAACGGGUGAGUAACACGUGAGUAACCUGCCCCCGACUCUGGGAUAAGCCCGGGAAACUGGGUCUAAUACCGGAUAUGACCUCGCACCGCAUGGUGCGGGGUGGAAAGAUUUAUCGGUGGGGGAUGGACUCGCGGCCUAUCAGCUUGUUGGUGAGGUAAUGGCUCACCAAGGCGACGACGGGUAGCCGGCCUGAGAGGGUGACCGGCCACACUGGGACUGAGACACGGCCCAGACUCCUACGGGAGGCAGCAGUGGGGAAUAUUGCACAAUGGGCGCAAGCCUGAUGCAGCGACGCCGCGUGAGGGAUGACGGCCUUCGGGUUGUAAACCUCUUUCAGUAGGGAAGAAGCGAAAGUGACGGUACCUGCAGAAGAAGCGCCGGCUAACUACGUGCCAGCAGCCGCGGUAAUACGUAGGGCGCAAGCGUUAUCCGGAUUUAUUGGGCGUAAAGAGCUCGUAGGCGGUUUGUCGCGUCUGCCGUGAAAGUCCGAGGCUCAACCUCGGAUCUGCGGUGGGUACGGGCAGACUAGAGUGAUGUAGGGGAGACUGGAAUUCCUGGUGUAGCGGUGAAAUGCGCAGAUAUCAGGAGGAACACCGAUGGCGAAGGCAGGUCUCUGGGCAUUUACUGACGCUGAGGAGCGAAAGCAUGGGGAGCGAACAGGAUUAGAUACCCUGGUAGUCCAUGCCGUAAACGUUGGGCACUAGGUGUGGGGGACAUUCCACGUUUUCCGCGCCGUAGCUAACGCAUUAAGUGCCCCGCCUGGGGAGUACGGCCGCAAGGCUAAAACUCAAAGGAAUUGACGGGGGCCCGCACAAGCGGCGGAGCAUGCGGAUUAAUUCGAUGCAACGCGAAGAACCUUACCAAGCUUGACAUGUGCCAGACCGCUCCAGAGAUGGGGUUUCCCUUCGGGGCUGGUUCACAGGUGGUGCAUGGUUGUCGUCAGCUCGUGUCGUGAG